GGAAAAUUUCGCUGUGCUUUGAAUGUCACGCCGAUAAAAAUAAUUUUUGUAUAUUGAAUAAAUGAGAUACGAAAAAAUUCAAUUUCCGCGUGACGUAGUUAAGGUUAGCGUGAAGUAUCAC
Tribolium castaneum (red flour beetle) is the source of this 121-nucleotide non-coding RNA. NCBI's taxonomy places the organism in Eukaryota, Metazoa, Arthropoda, Insecta, Coleoptera, Tenebrionidae. The record is from RefSeq and is marked provisional.